Molecule: ribosomal RNA, 780 nt
Filed under: uncultured archaeon
Lineage: Archaea
Description: bacterial SSU rRNA
Rfam family: Archaeal small subunit ribosomal RNA
Source: RNAcentral
UUAUCCGAGUGGUUUCUGCUAAAGAAACCUUUUGUCAGUCCUAGAAACACUAACGAAUAAGGGGUGGGCAAGUUCUGGUGUCAGCCGCCGCGGUAAAACUAGCACCUCAAGUGGUCAGGAUGAUUAUUGGGCCUAAAGCAUCCGUAGCUCGUUUUGUAAGUUUUCGGUUAAAUCCAUGCGCUUAACGUAUGGGCUGCCGGGAAUACUGCAUAACUAGGAAGUGGGAGAGGUAGACGGUACUCGGUAGGAAGGGGUAAAAUCCUUUGAUCUAUUGAUGACCACCUGUGGCGAAGGCGGUCUACCAGAACACGUUCGACGGUGAGGGAUGAAAGCUGGGGGAGCAAACCGGAUUAGAUACCCGGGUAGUCCCAGCUGUAAACUAUGCAAACUCAGUGAUGCAUUGGCUUGUGGCCAAUGCAGUGCUGCAGGGAAGCCGUUAAGUUUGCCGCCUGGGAAGUACGUACGCAAGUAUGAAACUUAAAGGAAUUGGCGGGGGAGCACCACAAGGGGUGAAGCCUGCGGUUCAAUUGGAGUCAACGCCAGAAAUCUUACCCGGAGAGACAGCAGAAUGAAGGUCAAGCUGAAGACUUUACCAGACAAGCUGAGAGGUGGUGCAUGGCCGUCGCCAGCUCGUGCCGUGAGAUGUCCUGUUAAGUCAGGUAACGAGCGAGAUCCCUGCCUCUAGUUGCCACCAUUACUCUCAGGAGUAGUGGGGCGAAUUAGCGGGACCGCCGCAGUUAAUGCGGAGGAAGGAGGGGGCCACGGCAGGUCAGUAUGCCC